RNAcentral lists this ribosomal RNA (2019 nucleotides) under Escherichia coli. RNAcentral's name for it is "partial 23S ribosomal RNA". It matches the Rfam family "Bacterial large subunit ribosomal RNA", at positions 847 to 2843 of the family's 2925-position model. The record is from RNAcentral. Lineage: Bacteria; Pseudomonadati; Pseudomonadota; Gammaproteobacteria; Enterobacterales; Enterobacteriaceae.
AGCUGGUUCUCCCCGAAAGCUAUUUAGGUAGCGCCUCGUGAAUUCAUCUCCGGGGGUAGAGCACUGUUUCGGCAAGGGGGUCAUCCCGACUUACCAACCCGAUGCAAACUGCGAAUACCGGAGAAUGUUAUCACGGGAGACACACGGCGGGUGCUAACGUCCGUCGUGAAGAGGGAAACAACCCAGACCGCCAGCUAAGGUCCCAAAGUCAUGGUUAAGUGGGAAACGAUGUGGGAAGGCCCAGACAGCCAGGAUGUUGGCUUAGAAGCAGCCAUCAUUUAAAGAAAGCGUAAUAGCUCACUGGUCGAGUCGGCCUGCGCGGAAGAUGUAACGGGGCUAAACCAUGCACCGAAGCUGCGGCAGCGACGCUGAUGCGUUGUUGGGUAGGGGAGCGUUCUGUAAGCCUGUGAAGGUGUGCUGUGAGGCAUGCUGGAGGUAUCAGAAGUGCGAAUGCUGACAUAAGUAACGAUAAAGCGGGUGAAAAGCCCGCUCGCCGGAAGACCAAGGGUUCCUGUCCAACGUUAAUCGGGGCAGGGUGAGUCGACCCCUAAGGCGAGGCCGAAAGGCGUAGUCGAUGGGAAACAGGUUAAUAUUCCUGUACUUGGUGUUACUGCGAAGGGGGGACGGAGAAGGCUAUGUUGGCCGGGCGACGGUUGUCCCGGUUUAAGCGUGUAGGCUGGUUUUCCAGGCAAAUCCGGAAAACUAAGGCUGAGGCGUGAUGACGAGGCACUACGGUGCUGAAGCAACAAAUGCCCUGCUUCCAGGAAAAGCCUCUAAGCAUCAGGUAACAUCAAAUCGUACCCCAAACCGACACAGGUGGUCAGGUAGAGAAUACCAAGGCGCUUGAGAGAACUCGGGUGAAGGAACUAGGCAAAAUGGUGCCGUAACUUCGGGAGAAGGCACGCUGAUAUGUAGGUGAAGUCCCUCGCGGAUGGAGCUGAAAUCAGUCGAAGAUACCAGCUGGCUGCAACUGUUUAUUAAAAACACAGCACUGUGCAAACACGAAAGUGGACGUAUACGGUGUGACGCCUGCCCGGUGCCGGAAGGUUAAUUGAUGGGGUCAGCGCAAGCGAAGCUCUUGAUCGAAGCCCCGGUAAACGGCGGCCGUAACUAUAACGGUCCUAAGGUAGCGAAAUUCCUUGUCGGGUAAGUUCCGACCUGCACGAAUGGCGUAAUGAUGGCCAGGCUGUCUCCACCCGAGACUCAGUGAAAUUGAACUCGCUGUGAAGAUGCAGUGUACCCGCGGCAAGACGGAAAGACCCCGUGAACCUUUACUAUAGCUUGACACUGAACAUUGAGCCUUGAUGUGUAGGAUAGGUGGGAGGCUUUGAAGUGUGGACGCCAGUCUGCAUGGAGCCGACCUUGAAAUACCACCCUUUAAUGUUUGAUGUUCUAACGUUGACCCGUAAUCCGGGUUGCGGACAGUGUCUGGUGGGUAGUUUGACUGGGGCGGUCUCCUCCUAAAGAGUAACGGAGGAGCACGAAGGUUGGCUAAUCCUGGUCGGACAUCAGGAGGUUAGUGCAAUGGCAUAAGCCAGCUUGACUGCGAGCGUGACGGCGCGAGCAGGUGCGAAAGCAGGUCAUAGUGAUCCGGUGGUUCUGAAUGGAAGGGCCAUCGCUCAACGGAUAAAAGGUACUCCGGGGAUAACAGGCUGAUACCGCCCAAGAGUUCAUAUCGACGGCGGUGUUUGGCACCUCGAUGUCGGCUCAUCACAUCCUGGGGCUGAAGUAGGUCCCAAGGGUAUGGCUGUUCGCCAUUUAAAGUGGUACGCGAGCUGGGUUUAGAACGUCGUGAGACAGUUCGGUCCCUAUCUGCCGUGGGCGCUGGAGAACUGAGGGGGGCUGCUCCUAGUACGAGAGGACCGGAGUGGACGCAUCACUGGUGUUCGGGUUGUCAUGCCAAUGGCACUGCCCGGUAGCUAAAUGCGGAAGAGAUAAGUGCUGAAAGCAUCUAAGCACGAAACUUGCCCCGAGAUGAGUUCUCCCUGACUCCUUGAGAGUCCUGAAGGAACGUUGAAG